This is a long non-coding RNA of Armigeres subalbatus, 601 nucleotides long. RefSeq lists it as uncharacterized. The record is from RefSeq and is a predicted model, not a curated record. Lineage: Eukaryota; Metazoa; Arthropoda; Insecta; Diptera; Culicidae. The transcript has 4 exons.
AGUAAUUGCUGCCAGCCGAGCCAAGGACGGGCAAGUUAGGCGAGCAACCAUCCAAACAGCAUCAGGGAUAUACGAACGACCUGCCAUCAAGGUGGCGGUGCUUGACGUCGGCGUUAAACAAAGUACUCUUCAGGAAGAUCUUCAGCGUACUGGGGGGGGAGUGUUGUGUACGCCACCGCAAGAAUUGCGCCCUUUGCAUAGUUAGAUACGAAUGUCAAUGAUAGAUAGACGAUGACAGAUCAGAGGAUUCAGAAAAGAUAAAAGAUUGGGCAGUAGCUAUAUUUGGAAAGUGAAUUCAUUAUUAUAUUUAAUAAAAACUUAUCCUACUUACAUUAUUAUAAUUCCAUAUUCUACUUAUAAUUAAGAGGAAAGUUCAUGCAGCAGAAGGUAAACGCUAUCUGGCGAUUUCUUACAUGAGGUUUCUACCAUUGUUUGUACAAGUUGUUAGCAUUCGUUGGUCAAUGUACGUGCAAAGGCAUUUAGGAACGGAAGAAAGCGGAAAGAGGAAUACUAAAUGAUUUUUUUAUGCGGCUCAAUACAAACGUAUUAAAAACACAGAACCACUUCUUCUUUCCCGUUGGUUACGUGCGGACGUAACAGU